AUUUUUUUAAUGAGCAUCAUCAGCAUGGAAGCAUGUCCUCCUGAAUGGUGGCCGAAGCGUGAAGGGGCGUACGAAUGACCAGCACAUCUGGCACAUAAAUAUCUUGCAAC
This is a long non-coding RNA of Gopherus evgoodei (Goodes thornscrub tortoise), 110 nucleotides long. RefSeq lists it as uncharacterized. The record is from RefSeq and is a predicted model, not a curated record. NCBI's taxonomy places the organism in Eukaryota, Metazoa, Chordata, Testudines, Testudinidae. The transcript is spliced from 3 exons.